CUGGGCUGUGCGGCUGUCCCGUCCUCGUGAAGAGGAGCGUUGGGAGGAGCCGGGAGAGACAAGGCUAUGGGCGGCGGGCGGGGACGGCUGUCCCUCCCUCAAGGAGUGGAGUUAGCGAGGCUGCGCUGGGGUGCUCCGUUGCCGAGGAUGGGCCGAGUUCGAGGCGGCAAAGGAAUUGUCUGCCAGGCUUCUGGAGGCACCUGGGCCGUGUGGGUUCACAGCGGUCAUCCAGGGAAUGGAUGGACAUGGUACAGCACUGGGGCCUGGGACCAGGACGAGCCUCAGAACACGGCUGGUGAGCACACCCACCUCCACCUGCACCCAUCCCCGCUCCCCACACACACCACACACACACUCAUCACACACACACUCAUCACACAACCACACACUCAUCACACACGCUCAUCACACACACCACACACUCAUCACACACAUUUUACACACACCACACACACUCGUCACACACAUGCUCAUCACACACUCAUCACACACCACACGCUCAUAAUACUCAUCACACACAUUCAUUACACACAUACACCACACACAUGCUCAUCACACACAUUCUCAUCACACACACCAUACGCACUCAUCACACACACUCAUCACACACAUGCUCAUCACACAUGCAUCACAUGCUCAUAACACACUCAUCACACACAUGCACCACACACAUGCUCAUCACACACAUAUCACACACAGCACACACACUCAUCACACACGCUCAUCACACACUGAUCACAGACACACGCUCAUCACACACCACACACACAGUCAUACAAACUCAUCACACACACCACACAUAUACUCAUCACUCAUGCUCAUCACACACAUUCAUCAAACACUACACACAUGUUCACACACUCAUCACAUGCACACCACACACUCAUCACACACAUUCAUCACAUACACCAUACACACAUUCAUCACACACGGCACACACAUGCUCAUCACACACACACCAUGCACACUCAUCACACUCACACACACAUCACACACGAUCACAGACAUCACACACACCACACACAUGCUCAUUAUGCACACUCGUCACACGCACACCACACACAGUCAUCACACACACAUCCCAGACACCACACACACCACACCAUAUAUACACUCAACCAUCACACGCACACACACCACACACACACACCUCAUCACGCAUACACCUGCACACAGAGCCACACACACUGGGCCAUCACACAGACACCAUGCACCACACACACACACACUCAUCACACACAAACCCAAUCACCUCACACACCCAUCCACCCCCAUCACAGCCCCCACCUCUGCUGAAUGGAGCCCCACCAUCCUUCAAUGACCAGCUGGCACCUCGUCCUUGACGUGCCCCAUCGCACUUCCUUCUCCCGCCCACGAGGACCUCGGUAAUGUCGCCCCUGAAACUGCUGCGGAACCUGGAGCCCACUGUAACCCAGAAUUGGAAUCCCAGCUCAGCCCCUGCACACCUGAUUGCCCGGAGAAAUGCCUUAUUCCUGACAGCCUCUUGGUUCUUUUCCGUCUCCGGUUAGGUGAGAAGGUCAAUCUGGCCCUGCGGGUUAUGUUGGGGGUUACAUGAGAACCUCAUUGGCAUGAAGAGGCCAGGCAGGUCCUCCGACAGUGCCACAGCCCCAGGCUUGUGCCGCCAAAUCACGGAGGCCUUCCGGGCCCUGAACACGAACCGGACGGGGCCUUCCCGCAUUACUACCCGAAUGACACUGCUGGGGGGACCGCUCUCUGGAUGCCAUUGUGGCCACGUGUCGGGACG
This 1765-nucleotide long non-coding RNA is filed under the name Homo sapiens (human). RNAcentral's name for it is "non-protein coding lnc-SGCG-5:2". The record is from RNAcentral. Lineage: Eukaryota; Metazoa; Chordata; Mammalia; Primates; Hominidae.